This 71-nucleotide transfer RNA is filed under the name Ovis aries (sheep). It matches the Rfam family "tRNA". From Rfam's summary of the family: Transfer RNA (tRNA) molecules are approximately 80 nucleotides in length. Their secondary structure includes four short double-helical elements and three loops (D, anti-codon, and T loops). Further hydrogen bonds mediate the characteristic L-shaped molecular structure. tRNAs have two regions of fundamental functional importance: the anti-codon, which is responsible for specific mRNA codon recognition, and the 3' end, to which the tRNAs corresponding amino acid is attached (by aminoacyl-tRNA synthetases). tRNAs cope with the degeneracy of the genetic code in two manners: having more than one tRNA (with a specific anti-codon) for a particular amino acid; and 'wobble' base-pairing, i.e. permitting non-standard base-pairing at the 3rd anti-codon position. Lineage: Eukaryota; Metazoa; Chordata; Mammalia; Artiodactyla; Bovidae. The record is from Rfam by way of RNAcentral.
UCCUGGUGGUUCAGACGGUAAAGCGUCUGCCUCCAAUGCGGGAGACCCGGGUUCAAUCCCUGGAUCAGGAA